GUCUCCGUAGGUGAACCUGCGGAGGGAUCAUU
RNAcentral lists this ribosomal RNA (32 nucleotides) under Teratosphaeria epicoccoides. RNAcentral describes it as "partial 18S ribosomal RNA". Lineage: Eukaryota; Fungi; Ascomycota; Dothideomycetes; Mycosphaerellales; Teratosphaeriaceae. RNAcentral also lists the same sequence under 3 other names. The record is from RNAcentral.